This 557-nucleotide ribosomal RNA is filed under the name uncultured Lachnospiraceae bacterium. Its description in RNAcentral is "bacterial SSU rRNA". It matches the Rfam family "Bacterial small subunit ribosomal RNA", at positions 146 to 721 of the family's 1533-position model. Lineage: Bacteria; Bacillati; Bacillota; Clostridia; Lachnospirales; Lachnospiraceae. The record is from RNAcentral.
ACAGUUAGAAAUGACUGCUAAUACCGCAUAAGACCACAGCACCGCAUGGUGCGGGGGUAAAAACUCCGGUGGUAUGAGAUGGACCCGCGUCUGAUUAGCUAGUUGGUAAGGUAACGGCUUACCAAGGCGACGAUCAGUAGCCGACCUGAGAGGGUGACCGGCCACAUUGGGACUGAGACACGGCCCGAACUCCUACGGGAGGCAGCAGUGGGGAAUAUUGCACAAUGGGGGAAACCCUGAUGCAGCGACGCCGCGUGAGCGAAGAAGUAUUUCGGUAUGUAAAGCUCUAUCAGCAGGGAAGAAAAUGACGGUACCUGACUAAGAAGCACCGGCUAAAUACGUGCCAGCAGCCGCGGUAAUACGUAUGGUGCAAGCGUUAUCCGGAUUUACUGGGUGUAAAGGGAGCGUAGACGGAUGGGCAAGUCUGAUGUGAAAGCCCGGGGCUCAACCCCGGGACUGCAUUGGAAACUGUUCAUCUAGAGUGCUGGAGAGGUGAGUGGAAUUCCUAGUGUAGCGGUGAAAUGCGUAGAUAUUAGGAGGAACACCAGUGGCGAAGG